RNAcentral lists this unclassified non-coding RNA (411 nucleotides) under Hevea brasiliensis (rubber tree). Lineage: Eukaryota; Viridiplantae; Streptophyta; Magnoliopsida; Malpighiales; Euphorbiaceae. The record is from RNAcentral.
GGAACUCUCUCUUAAUGGCUCUGCCGUGGAAGAAAUACCCGAUUCUAUUAAAAAUUUGAAGAACCUUCAUACACUAAGCUUAAUUAGGUGCAAGUCACUUGCUGCUCUUCCCCAUUCUGUUGGCAACCUCAAAUCUUUAGCAAAUCUCUGGCUUUAUGGCAGUGCAAUAGAAAUUAUACCAGAAUCUAUCGGUUGUCUAUAUUAUCUUAGGUCCUUAUCACUUGGAAACUGUCAGCAGUUGACUGCAUUGCCUGUUUCAGUUAAAGGAUUGGCUUCUUUGGUUGAGCUUCAAAUAGAUAAGGUUCCGAUCCGUUGUCUUCCACAUAUUGGAGCCCUUAAAUCACUGAAGACUCUCGAGAUAAGGAACUGUGAGCACCUUGGAUCACUACCCGAUUCCAUUGGAGAAUUAUU